Molecule: ribosomal RNA, 253 nt
Filed under: uncultured bacterium
Lineage: Bacteria
Description: partial 16S ribosomal RNA
Rfam family: Bacterial small subunit ribosomal RNA
Source: RNAcentral
UACGGAGGGGGCUAGCGUUAUUCGGAAUUACUGGGCGUAAAGCGCACGUAGGCGGCUUUGUAAGUCAGAGGUUAAAGCCUGGAGCUCAACUCCAGAACUGCCUUUGAGACUGCAUCGCUUGAAUCCAGGAGAGGUGAGUGGAAUUCCGAGUGUAGAGGCGAAAUUCGUAGAUAUUCGGAAGAACACCAGUGGCGAAGGCGGCUCACUGGACUGGUAUUGACGCUGAGGUGCGAAAGCGUGGGGAGCAAACAGG